ACCAGCAUGCUCACCGGAUUACAGUGGAUGAAUUCUGAUUUUGAAUGUUAGACAAGUUUGGGCCUGGUUGUAACCUGGAUGGGAGACCACCAGGGAAUUCUAGGCAGGGUU
RNAcentral lists this ribosomal RNA (111 nucleotides) under Pogona vitticeps (central bearded dragon). Lineage: Eukaryota; Metazoa; Chordata; Lepidosauria; Squamata; Agamidae. The record is from RNAcentral.